RNAcentral lists this ribosomal RNA (284 nucleotides) under uncultured bacterium. RNAcentral's name for it is "partial 16S ribosomal RNA". It matches the Rfam family "Bacterial small subunit ribosomal RNA", at positions 771 to 1052 of the family's 1533-position model. The record is from RNAcentral.
AACAGGAUUAGAUACCCUGGUAGUCCACGCCGUAAACGAUGAUAACUAGCUGUCCGGGCUCUUAGAGCUUGGGUGGCGCAGCUAACGCAUUAAGUUAUCCGCCCGGGGAGUACGGCCGCAAGGUUAAAACUCAAAUGAAUUGACGGGGGCCUGCACAAGCGGUGGAGCAUGUGGUUUAAUUCGAAGCAACGCGCAGAACCUUACCAGCGUUUGACAUGUCCGGACGAUUUCCAGAGAUGGAUCUCUUCCCUUCGGGGACUGGAACACAGGUGCUGCAUGGCUGU